Molecule: small nucleolar RNA, 133 nt
Organism: Sorex fumeus (smoky shrew)
Lineage: Eukaryota; Metazoa; Chordata; Mammalia; Eulipotyphla; Soricidae
Product: small nucleolar RNA SNORA61
Exons: 1
Source: RefSeq, a predicted model, not a curated record
ACACUCCACUUCCAUUUCCAUUAGAUCUGAACACUGAUCAUGAUGGUCAUAAAAGAAGGAAUAGUAAUACUGAAGCUGACCUCACAGGGCUCAUAGUCUGCCAUAGUAAAACAUGAGCUAGUUUCAAACAGGG